Molecule: ribosomal RNA, 253 nt
Filed under: uncultured bacterium
Lineage: Bacteria
Description: partial 16S ribosomal RNA
Rfam family: Bacterial small subunit ribosomal RNA
Source: RNAcentral
UACGAAGGGGGCUAGCGUUGCUCGGAAUCACUGGGCAUAAAGCGCACGUAGGCGGAUUGUUAAGUCUGGGGUGAAAUCCUGGAGCUCAACUCCAGAACUGCCUUUGAUACUGGCGAUCUUGAGUCCGGGAGAGGUGAGUGGAACUGCGAGUGUAGAGGUGAAAUUCGUAGAUAUUCGCAAGAACACCAGUGGCGAAGGCGGCUCACUGGCCCGGUACUGACGCUGAGGUGCGAAAGCGUGGGGAGCAAACAGG